AGUAACAUUCAAAAGUAACAUUCGUAUUUAUACCAGGUUGAAGGACUCUUGGCGGAACUAUUACCCUGCUCAUGAUAUGAACUUGGUUGUCCCAUCUAAAGUGGUUUGCCAAAUCCAAGUUUGAUCAUCUGAAAGAGCCUUUUGACACACCAGAAUUUCACAGACUUUACAGAGGGAUUCCUAGCAAGAAGCUGGCAAACCCUCAACUUUCAAGACAGCCCUUGCAGAUCGACUUUAUGUGCAGUUAUCCCAGUCCGCAACAUCCAUCUGUUGAACAUUACUUGGGCACUGCCCCCACAGAGAAAAAUUACAGGAUGCUGAGGAGAUAUGGGCCUGGUUUGGAUGCGCCAGUCAUAUCCCAGCCUUCAUUGCUUUUGGCCUCUGUGUGGUCUUCGACCCAACUUUGAUGGAGAUGUUACAGAGCUCUGAUGGUACCUACAGAAGCUCCUGUGGUGAAAGAUGUGCACGUUUUCCCUCUAUGUUUCCCACAAAACUCUGAUUUAGGAAGAACAAAAGAGCUUAAAUGCUUGCACAAUCACUUUGCAUCCUGCAGUGGAAUAAGAAAGGUCAGGCAAUAACUUGCGCUCAAAAAGAAGACUUCAGUAGAAUGGAUUUGGUUUAUUUAAUAGUAAAGAAAAGGUCAUGUCUUUUGUUCUUUUAUUCUCACAUAAAUUG
This is a long non-coding RNA of Chroicocephalus ridibundus (black-headed gull), 675 nucleotides long. RefSeq lists it as uncharacterized. The transcript has 5 exons. The record is from RefSeq and is a predicted model, not a curated record. Lineage: Eukaryota; Metazoa; Chordata; Aves; Charadriiformes; Laridae.